GAUGAACGCUGGCGGCGUGCCUAAUACAUGCCAGUCGAGCGAACGGACGAGAAGCUUGCUUCUCUGAUGUUAGCGGCGGACGGGUGAGUAACACGUGGAUAACCUACCUAUAAGACUGGGAUAACUUCGGGAAACCGUAGCUAAUACCGGAUAAUAUUUUGAACCGCAUGGUUCAAAAGUGAAAGACGGUCUUGCUGUCACUUAUAGAUGGAUCCGCGCUGCAUUAGCUAGUUGGUAAGGUAACGGCUUAACAAGGCAACGAUGCAUAGCCGACCUGAGAGGGUAAUCAGCCACACUAGAACUGAGACACGGUACAGACUCCUACGGGAGGCAGCAGUAGGGAAUCUGCCGCAAAGGGCGAAAACCUGACGGAGCAACGCCGCGUGAGUGAUGAAGGUCUUCGGAUCGUAAAACUCUGUUAUUAGGGAAGAACAUAUGUGUAAGUAACUGUGAACAUCUUGACGGUACCGAAUCAGAAAGCCACGACUAACUACGUG
Molecule: ribosomal RNA, 497 nt
Filed under: uncultured bacterium
Lineage: Bacteria
Description: partial 16S ribosomal RNA
Rfam family: Bacterial small subunit ribosomal RNA
Source: RNAcentral